Cannabis sativa is the source of this 244-nucleotide long non-coding RNA. RefSeq lists it as uncharacterized. Lineage: Eukaryota; Viridiplantae; Streptophyta; Magnoliopsida; Rosales; Cannabaceae. The transcript is spliced from 3 exons. The record is from RefSeq and is a predicted model, not a curated record.
AAAAAUAAAGAAAGUCGGGGUAAGAUGAAAUUUUUAGGAGGCUGGGGCUCCAAGCCCAUUGUUUCACAUGUUGUCGAAGGGGCUAACCCCGACACAGGAGAACUGCCAACUGCGGUGGAAACUUUUCAAAAGUUUCACCAUAAAGGCAACGAUUGGCGCAACGAGUUCGCGCAACAAGCUUACGAGCAAAUGGUUGAAAUAGCGGCAACUCAACCAGCGCCCACUGCAGAUGAGCCCGAAGAGC